Non-coding RNA from Callithrix jacchus (white-tufted-ear marmoset), 2675 nucleotides. Lineage: Eukaryota; Metazoa; Chordata; Mammalia; Primates; Cebidae. The record is from RefSeq and is a predicted model, not a curated record.
AUUUUUUAUAUUUAUUUCCUCCCUUAAAAAAAUUCAUUCCCUUCUUUAAAAAAAGUGAGGUCACACCCAGUGCAGGCUCCUUGGUCACACCAUGUGAUGAGAUCACACCUGGCCCAGGGGCCCUGCUCAUACCAUGUGAUGAGGUCACAGAGGAAGCACCUAAAUUCAACACAGAGGUGAGUGAGGGCAUCAGGAAGUGAUCCUACUGCUGUGUUUCCAGGGUCAGUGAGAGGUCUCACGCAUGCAGGGUGCAGCUGGAGGGAGCAGUUCGCUCCCAGCCGAGGCAGCCACACGGGAGCAAGAGGCACCUGGCAGGAGGAGCGUGGCAUGGAGAGUGGCAGGAGAUGAGCUGGUGCUGUCCACUAUCUGGGACGUGUGGGCUCAGACUUGGAAUCUGGCCUGGGGUCAGUCAGAGCUGCUGAGAGGACAUGAAGCUGAAGAGUGAUGCACCUCAUCAAGAAAUGUCCAUCUCUGCGUCUUCACCAGUGGACCAAGAGGCCCAGCACCCAUCACUGGACUUGGGCAAGUCAAAGUGACUGAAGGCAGAGAGCAAAGGACUUUCAAAGCCAGGACAUCAUGACUCACUUCUCCUCAGAGCUGCCGAGGGGUAUCUGAACAACUGAACACCACUGUCACCGGCGUUGGCCCUGCCAUGGCAUAGGAGGCCUUCUAAGGGCUGAUAAGCAGAGAUUACUAAGUGUUCAAUUUCCUGAAAACAUCUCCUACCUGAGAUUUAUUUACCAUUCAGCUGCUCCCGGCAAUGUGGCCUUGUUCUUCAGAAUCACUUUACUUUACUUAAUCUCCAAGAGAGAUCGCAACAUAAAUAUGAGCUUACUUGGAAAGAGCCUUGGAGAGCCUCUGUACCAUGCUUUCUUCCCCUUGAGCGGACGAGCAUUUUAUUUUGAUGUUUAUCUGGUGCCAUGGUAACUUCCAUGACUUGAAAUUUACUUUUCAGACUUAGAAGUGAGGACAGAAAGUCAUUUUAGCAAAUAAUUAUUGAGUACCUAUCAAACAUGGAAGAGAAGAUGAAUAAGACAUUGCUUUUCUCAAAUGGGCACAAGUCAGAGUGCCAAUGGCUAGACUAGAAAUCUGCAAACUUUUCCAGAAAAGAAGCCAAAUGGCAACUAUUUCAGGUGUUGCAGGCCACAUGGCGUCUGCUGCUAGAGAGCAAUAGCCACCAUAGACUAUAUAAGUGAACGAUUUCCAGGGCUGUGUUCCAAUAAAACUUUAUUUGUGGACAUCGAAUUGGAAAUUUCCUAAAUUUCUGUGUGUCACAAAACAUUGAACUUUUUAUUUUUUCUCAACUGUUCGAAAAUGUAAAAACCAGUCAGAGCUUGCAGGCAGCUAUGAAAAUAGGCAGCUGGCCAACUUUGGCCAAUGGGUGGGGACUUAGACUCCCGGAUGGACCCUCAGGUCUGCCCCUUACCAGCUCUAUGCGGGGAGGGGAGUUGCCUGAACUUCCUGAACCUGUUUUCUCAUCUGCAAAAUAGAGACGAAAAUCUUUGUCUUGUGAGUUCUAAGAAUUAGAUACUGAAACACAGAAAACACUGAUGAAUGUUAGUGGAUCUCCUUCCUUGAUGAUGAUAACGAUAACUAACCCUCUUGAACACUUAUUUCCUGCCAGGCACUGUGUUAAGUGCUACAUACUUUUUACAGUAUUUUAUCUAACCUAAGAUGCCAUUGAUUUUAAGAUGCACCAUUAUUGAAUGUACCACCAAGAAAGAAAAAGCUGCCAGUUAACCUCUGAUGCAGCAUCGAUUGUAAGAUUCUGAUUCACAAAUGCCCAAGAGUAUGUGUGUUUUGGAGGAUGCAUCUUAGAAUCAAUACAAUAUGGUAUUUUCUUUAAUCCCACAGUCAUCCCAGGAGGUAGGUACUCUCAUCAUCCCGAAUUUACAGCUGAGGAAGGUGAGGAACAGUUUCUAGCCCAUGCUUAAACAGCUAGGAAGUAUCCAUGCUGAGACCGUGAACCUGGGCAACCUAGUCCAGGAUCUGAGCUCUGCCUCAAGGGCACAGGCUCCUGUGAGAAGGCUGGACCACCUGGGACUCUGAAUAUGCAAGGGAAGGGAGAGAAAGUCUGAAACAGGGUGAACACUACCAGGCCAGUAAAUCUCAUCCCUCUGGUGUUUCAAAGUAGGGUAUGAAUGCAGUAACAGAUAACAGGGAUUUGAAAAUGUGUAAUCAAAGUGGCAAGAUGCAUGAAGGUCUAAGCCUGCAGGUUCCUUCUGAUGGCUGUGCUGGGAAGGGAGGAUGGGAGUAGAUGCUGACAGCGUGUAAUGUGGACAGAGCAGGGCAUGAGGAGGAGCCCAGGGAGAUCUUUCUUACACUUGAGCUUUCCUGUCCUGUGUGGAAGGAACACAUGUGGGCUGUGGAGUUCAGGGGCCAGAGACAAGCCUGCAGCUCUGUCAUGUACUGGCAGCGUGGCCUGAGAAAACUUCGGCUCUCCCACCCCCACCUGUGUGUCUCCCAUCCUCUCAUGCACAGGGCCAUCAGCAUGGACUCCAGCCUCCCAGCUCAGCCGUGAGCAGGAGGUGAGACCAUGAGCAUCCCAGAGAGCUGGAGCACAGCCUGGACAUUCAGUGAGCCUCAGGGCACGCAAGGCAUAGGGCAAUCUAGACUAACAUUCUCUUCCAAAUUCCGACUUGUUUUUAUUUCACAAUGUCCAUCUCAAAUCUCUC